CAUCCUCUGCGGUGCUCGAUAGCGGACCGGGUAUAUGCCUUGACCCUAAAGUCAUACCCGGGAGUCGUGAAACAUGCUCGGUGUGCAUGUCCGCGCAAGCGGAAAGCCUAAGAGCGAGUAGUAGCGGCCCCACCUGAACCUCCGGUUCAAGGUCGAAGGUCCGUACCGACAUCGUGGAGGGUGC
Molecule: non-coding RNA, 184 nt
Filed under: Gammaproteobacteria bacterium
Lineage: Bacteria; Pseudomonadati; Pseudomonadota; Gammaproteobacteria
Description: 6S RNA
Rfam family: 6S / SsrS RNA
About the family: E. coli 6S RNA was the first non coding RNA to be sequenced, but its function was unknown until recently. It consists of 184 nucleotides that fold into an extended hairpin structure with a large single-stranded internal bulge. The 6S RNA specifically associates with RNA polymerase holoenzyme containing the sigma70 specificity factor.
Source: RNAcentral